Molecule: small nucleolar RNA, 78 nt
Organism: Hippopotamus amphibius kiboko
Lineage: Eukaryota; Metazoa; Chordata; Mammalia; Artiodactyla; Hippopotamidae
Product: small nucleolar RNA SNORD115
Exons: 1
Source: RefSeq, a predicted model, not a curated record
GGGUCAAUGAUAACUCAUAUGGUCCUGAAGUGAGUUGAUGACUUAAAAAUCAUGCUCAAUAGGAUUACACUGAGGCCU